GGAAUAUUGCGCAAUGGAGGAAACUCUGACGCAGUGACGCCGCGUAUAGGAAGAAGUUUUUCGGAAUGUAAACUAUUGUAGACAGGGAAGAAAAAGACAGUACCUGUAAAGUAAGCUCCGGCUAACUAUGUGCCAGCAGCCGCGGUAAUACAUAGGGAGCAAGCGUUAUCCGGAUUUAUUGGGUGUAAAGGGUGCGUAGACGGGAAUUUAAGUUAGUUGUGAAAUCCCUCGGCUUAACUGAGGAACUGCAACUAAAACUGGAUUUCUUGAGUGCGGGAGAGGAAAGUGGAAUUCCUAGUGUAGCGGUGAAAUGCGUAGAUAUUAGGAGGAACACCAGUGGCGAAGGCGACUUUCUGGACCGUAACUGACGUUGAGGCACGAAAGUGUGGGGAGCAAACA
Molecule: ribosomal RNA, 399 nt
Filed under: uncultured bacterium
Lineage: Bacteria
Description: bacterial SSU rRNA
Rfam family: Bacterial small subunit ribosomal RNA
Source: RNAcentral